This 29-nucleotide non-coding RNA is filed under the name Rattus norvegicus (Norway rat). Lineage: Eukaryota; Metazoa; Chordata; Mammalia; Rodentia; Muridae. The record is from RNAcentral.
UAAGACAGUAAUGUGUAGCAAAAGUGUCA